UACGUAGGGCGCAAGCGUUGUCCGGAAUUAUUGGGCGUAAAGAGCUCGUAGGCGGUCUGUCGCGUCGAUCGUGAAAACUUGGGGCUUAACCCUGAGCUUGCGGUCGAUACGGGCAUGACUGGAGUUCGGCAGGGGAGACUGGAAUUCCUGGUGUAGCGGUGAAAUGCGCAGAUAUCAGGAGGAACACCGGUGGCGAAGGCGGGUCUCUGGGCCGAUACUGACGCUGAGGAGCGAAAGCGUGGGGAGCGAACAGG
This 254-nucleotide ribosomal RNA is filed under the name uncultured bacterium. Its description in RNAcentral is "partial 16S ribosomal RNA". It matches the Rfam family "Bacterial small subunit ribosomal RNA", at positions 524 to 776 of the family's 1533-position model. The record is from RNAcentral.